CGGCCGCCUGGCCGCGGGAUUUCCGUAGGGAACCUGCGGAAGGAUCAUUCCCCUAAGUUCUAUUCUACCUGCCACACAUCAUAGUGAUACCCCUGUCAUUCAAAAGGACGUUGAGUCCGUCUCAUCGAUGUUGCGAUCUCAUUGCAGCGCUUGCAGUGUUAUCUAUCUCUUGCAACGACGAAUGCCUUGGCUCGAGGAUCGUUGAAGGACGCAGCGAACUGUGUUACACAUCUCGAAUUGCAGAUUUCCGAGAAAGAUAAGGAUUCUGAACGCACUCUGCGAGUUGGCUUUGUCAACUCACGUGGUUGGCGGUGACCGCAAUAUGCAGUCGUUCAAACUCUUGAAGUUUGAAUGGUUAUCUCAUGUCGUCGCUCGUAGUAGCGCCGACGUGAUCGUUGCAGUCAGCGUGCCUUUCGUUUCGAGCACCGAUUGUGGCUUCAGUCAUAUGGUGUUUGUUUCGUUUGGUUUGCAUUUGUUUGUUCAUUCAAACAUUUUUUCGCACGUUCACGACCAAUCACGGGAUUACCCGCUGAAUUUAAGCAUAUCAAC
This 549-nucleotide ribosomal RNA is filed under the name uncultured eukaryote. RNAcentral's name for it is "eukaryotic LSU rRNA". The stretch from base 167 to 317 matches the Rfam family "5.8S ribosomal RNA". The record is from RNAcentral.